ACAUGUUCCGGCAAGGCUAAUAGUUAGCCUCUUAAGCAGCCAGAAAGUUCCAUUCGGAACUUUAUCUAAGCUUCAUGGAACUUUAAAUCUUCUUAAGAUGCUACUCGGAACUUUGUCGGAACUUUCAAGUUCAUAAAAGUUCAGUAGUUUUGUGUUUCAAUAAAUAUUGAAUGUAUUUUUUUUGCAGAAAAUAACUGUGUUGAGCAUACAGAAAUAAAAUACAAAUUUAAAUUUAUGAAACCAAUAAAUAUUAGGCUUAAAUCAAUAAAUAUGUCACCCACCAGAUUCGAACGGUGAGUCGCUGCGUGAGAGACGUACGCUCUACCACGUUACUACAGUUAAGAUUGAAUGAAAAGCUGUUUUGCACACUUGUACAGUACUGACGUUAGCUUGACUUUGUCAAGUAUCUUCAGCAGCGCAGCGGUAAGUCAGCAGACUAUCACGGAGAGUACCAACUACUCAUACUAAACGAUCGGAUUAAAAAAUACAUUUUUGUUUCUGCAUGAAUUUUGUUGAAGUUCUGUCAGAAGCUGCUUAGAAUGCUAUCUAGCUACCUUAUGUGAACUUUCAAGUUCCAAAAUUACUUAAAAAUGAAGCUGCUUAGAAGGCUAAUGAGCCACCUCGAAAAAGCUGCUUAGCCUCUUAUCUGAACUUUUGGUUACUUGAGCAGACAUUUACGUAUUUUUAGGAUAAUUCUAUCAUCGUUUUCAACUAAAAGAAAUCGAUUCGACAGAAAUUCUACAAAUAUGUGACUGAUUCAUGAAUUUCGCCAAUUUCCUUAUUCAAAAACUCAUCUAUAAUGAACCAAGAAAAACCUGAAUGUUAAAAACGCUAGAAAUUUCUUAUCAUUACCGUCUAUUUUUUCCAAAAAUUUCAGAAAUUCUAAGACAUACUGUGUCAGAGAACCAAUCAGAUUAAUAUUUCACGACACACACAGUCUACAAGACCAAUGAUUUUUCUUUACGAGAUUCUAUUAAAUUAACUACGAAAUUCAACUGAAUGUUUAUUCAAGUCUUUUGCAAAUUCCACAAAAACAGAUUUCAGAAUCAGCAAGAAGCUUUGGCAUUUUUUUCAGAAAUCUAGCCAUGAAAUUCAUUGUUUUUUUUUUCGAACCGCAGACAUUACUGUAUAAAUUCCAUAAAAAAACCCUAUCCAAAAUUUUAAAUUCAAAAUGAUUGACAAAGAAAUUCGAGAAUAAGAGGAACUUCUCUGUUUUCACAAACUGAGCGUGAUCUAGCACUCCAAGCCAGAGACUAAUAACAUUAUUUUUACUCAAUCACAAAAUUCAUAACUCCAAUAUGCAUUUUUUUAUUUUUUUUUUUCUAAUUGUGUUAAGCUUUAUGUCUAAAUAUUGAAGGUAAGAGCAUUUGAAAACCAAGUUGAAAACCAUUUCCGCAAAAACCGCGCCAAAAUUAACAAAAACGGGCGAAAUCCGCGCGAAACGCAAAAACCGCGAAAAACGCAAAAUCCGCGCCACCUGUAACAGCCCUGCAAUUUUAGUACAUGCCCAUUUAUAAUAGUACAUUUUUCAAAAGGCUGAGUUUCUAUGAAGCAAUCAAGUUGAAAUUUUGUCCACAAGCAAAAGGAACAUAGGCCUUUCAUUCCCCAUCAUUUAAUUUUCAAUUCGCUCACCACAACAGAAUUUCGAGCUUAUAAACCUUCAUGCACUCAAAAAUGGCAGUUUUAGGAGAGACAUUUUGUUCUAAAAAAGCCCAUUUAUAUUUGUUAUGGCUCAAAAAAAUCAUGAGUGUUCAAAAAGGCCUGAUGUGUCCAUCAGUUAGAACAGAAGUUGUAAAAUUUUUCUAAACGAACAGAAAAAAAUAUGUGUAUAAGGUGGCAAGCCUUAUAAAGGGUUAACGUGAUGAUAUUUCUUAAUGUAUUACAACAUAGCAAAUUGGGUUGUUUAGUGAAUAAAAUAUUGCUAUUUUCUAUAGCCUCAUCGAAAAAGCUCAUUUUUCUGAGUAUAACGUGAUUUUAUUGGACUCCAAUACCUUUGUUUUGAUGAUUAAAUUAACAAAACAGUUUUUAUUUUUGUGGAUAGAAUGACAGUUCAAUCGAUAAAGUUCGACAGUUCGACCCGAACAAAAAAAAAUCUCCAUACAAACUUUAAAUACAUUUUAAAAAUAGUUCCCGAAAUCAGAAAAUGGCGAAAUUUUGAAAUUCGACUAAUUGUUGAGCGGAGAAUCCGAUUAUGAAAUAAUUCGGAUACCCCUAAAGAACCCAAUUAUAAGUGUUAAUCAUUAAAAAUUUUGAAUUUCGGCUCACUUUUCACAAUCACCAAUAUAUCAGAAAAUCUGAAUCAAGUCGAUACCUAUCUUGAUAUUGAUCGGCCUAGAGUGAUAGUGACAGUGGUUGGCAAUAUCAGUAGGUAACUGACAAGACUGAUAUUUUACAGCUCUGGUGGAUAUAUUGAAGAAAUAUAUAUCGGGAUUUAUGAUAUUUCUUUUGAGUUCUGGGGUUUGAUUUGAUCUAUUCAAUAAAAUCCUCAGAACUGUUCAAGCAUUUUAUUAAGGAAUGCAAGAUCUUUGGCAAUCAGAAAUAGUCUAGCAUUUUUUCUGUAUUUAAUCACAAAUGAAGUUUAAGAAAUUUUAUUGGAAAGUGUAGUGAUUGAGAUGGAUAUGUAGUGUGUAAAUUAGUGUUGUAUAUGCUCUAGCAUUGACAGCGAUGAAACGAUGUCGCAAAUAAACAAAACAAACGAGAAGCAUACACACUUAAUUUGAAAUGUCGGGAUCUCAGCCUUUUUUUCAAACUUUCGCCGAGAUCCGCACAGCCGAGCGCUCGGCAAACAACAACAUAACCAAGAUCUCGGCAACUUUGACAGUUCAUUACUGAGUGUCGGCUGCUGUUUUGCUGAGAAUCAGCUAACAAAUGCAGUUUUAACUGAGAUAUCAGUUUUUGAGUUGGCUGAGUAGUCGGCUGUGCGCGGAAAGCCGAGCCCGCGAAUAUUUUUUAAGUGUGUAGCAUAGAUAACAAACUUAAGUCUCGUCAAGUAUGUCGCGCGUGCAACUUGGUGGCUACAUAUAACCAGGGAUGAGAAAUGUACUGGAAAAAACGGUUACCGGCUGCACAUUUGACAUUUUUCCACACGAACAUCACAGGCCCAGCUAAACUCAAACUGUUCGAAAAAUAAAUGUCAUAACAUUUUUUUUUCCAGCAGCCUUCUUCCUCGAAACGGUUUCCAAGCGCGAGAGCGCCGGUACUCGAGCACAACGACGACAGAAAUUUCUGUCUCUCCCAUUUUCGCAUUUUUCUCCGAUUCAAACCGCUUCUAGACAAACUUCUUUAUAUGCAUCACAAAGCUAGGAGUGUGUUCUAGCUAUUUGUGCAAACAGAUUCAAAUUAUUCACUAAAACAAGUGAGUUAUUAGCAGUUGAAAAUAUUUGACAUUUUUCGCAAUCACCCGCCUCGGCAUGACUGCUCAUAAAUAUUUUUGUGGGGAAGCGAAAACUAUCAAGCGCCAGCUUGACUGCCGACGGCGCGGCUGCUGAUGGUAGGUAUUGGUGCUGCCGUUGUUUUGUUUUUAUUUUACUGUCGGUAUCGAUGAACGGAAAAGAGAAAAACGUAUUUUUGCCAUCCCUGCAUAUAACAGUUAUUGCAACAGUUCAUUGUAAAAAUGGCUGCAGCAACAUAGUUUACAGCAUUUUUUUUAUAUAUAAAUUAGUUCACACAGAAUUUGAAAAAAAUGAACUUGGAUAAACAUCUGUUAUCUGUGGUAUGAGCUCACAUUUAUUUUGAACAAUGUAAUCGAUGAAAUUUAACAUGUUAAGCACAUACAUUACAAAAUCUCACUUUUUAGCUAAAAGUACCAAGUGUAUAACUUUUUACACAAGCGUGGGAUCACUUUUCGGUCUUCGACAGAGUUUUUCGGCAAAUUCUAGGAUCAGAUCCCUCAAAUUCCACAUCCUUCGUUGCAUGAUUUAAGACAAAUUUGAACCCCUCAUAAGAAUCUGUUUUUAUCUGUAUUAUUGAGGUUUGUUUUUUCCCUUGGCCCUACUUUGGGCCUGCUUCCUCUCAAAGAAAAUUUCACAUUUUGAGAGUACAUACAAUUUUGUUUUUUUUUGCACUGGCUUUUUUUUGCACUUACACAGUCAAUUUUGAAUCAAUAUACAUGAAAAUUUUUACACAGGGAGAGGCGGUUACUUCGUGUUUUGAAAAUCAAGUCUAUAGGCUCAAAAUUGACUAAGUUAUAGCAAAAAGGCGUCCUGUGCUAAAAAAAAGUGUCGAAUGUAUGUCGGCAGUGGAAUUCGAUCCUGGGUCCUCGGUAAGACAGGCCAACACCUCUUCAAGGAUUUCGUCAAAAAACAAAAAACUCCUGUAUAUUUCAUUUCUAGAUAGAACUUCUAUAGAAAUCCCUUGAGGAACUCCCGGAAGAUUUCCAUAAGAAACACCAAGAGGUUCCCCAGCAGAAAAUUCUGGAUGAUUUUCAGAGGGAGCUCCAGGAGAAAUCUAAAGAGCCAAAUUCUACGCUCGAUACAAAUUUCGAAAAUUUUGUAUGAACAAAAAUCUACGAGGGGGAGGGGAGUAUGAGAUGGUCAAAAAUGAGUCUAUGUAGUUUAUGGACAGUGCCAGAAAUGUUUUUGGGUGAAUCCUUGAAGGAUAACGAGAGAAGGAAAUUCUGGGGGAUUAUUUGAAAUAAUGUUGUUACAACCACUACCAUCGAUCGUCGAUGCACGCGUACCUGCGGUGUAGGCUACGUUGAGUCUUUUUUGACAUCUAUUAUAAGGCUACUAUUGUGAGCAGAAUCAAAGAAUCCAUGAUAGCAGCUGGUUGAUAUCGCAAACGUGGUUUCGGGAAAAUUGUUAGGCGAUUAUUUAUUGAAUUUGUGCGCCUUUAAAUGCCUGUAAACUACAGUGAUCGCUUCGUGAUAUUUAUUGAGCUGUAUGGUUAUAUUAUCAUUUGUCCGCUUCAGAACGUCCUAUGUAUGACGAAUUCUUACUCCUAUCGCAAAUAGUUACUCCUACGUAAGUUAGAAUGACGAUUAUAAGUGCCUUAUUAGCAAUCUUAACCGGCAAAACUAAUAGAUUUCUAGGCUAGGUUGCGAGAUCCCCAGUUGUACUUCACAAGUAGCAAAUACGGGAAGAUACUAAAUCUGUAAGAUUGAAAUACUAUGUACCAUGAAACCCCACUGAAAUACAUUUUUCUUCUAGUUUGAGCUGAUUACUGAACACGCGCUGCUCCAAAAAUUAGUACGUCUAUUCCGUGUCCGAACAAAUGUCUUGAUGGAUAUCAGAAAAUAAUCGUGGAUGAAUUCCCGUUGAAAAUGUAGAAAUAGCAGAAGGGAAAUCUUGGUGAAUCAAAAAGCAACUCUUGAAUGAACUACAAAAGGUUGUCUUGGUCCGAUUUCUGGUAGAAUUCCUUAAAAAAUCCCCGAUGAAAAAUAAAUUUGAAAAGGGACAUCUGGGUUAAUAUGAAAAAGAAAGACCUGAAGAAAUCUCAGGGGCUAGAAAUUAUAUCCUCGAAAAAAUGUCAUCGAAUUCCAAGAGAUAACUUUGCAGUACGAGAUAACAUAGACAAAUUCCAGAAAUAACUUCUUGGUCGGCGUCAGCAAAAAAUAAACUAAAAAAUGUAGACUGCGCAAAAAUGAUUUGUUAAAAACGUCAAACAACGAUUGAAUGUUAUGCUAAGGAGUCUGGAAAACGUUUUCCGAGGACAUCACAAUACUGUCAACUGUCUUGUAAUGUAAUGACGACUAAUGUCUCACGCUUUAAGCGCCUUAUGAAUUAUGUAAUUCAUCAGGAGUUAUUUCAGGUGCUAAGCUGCGGAACCUCAAAUAACCACCGAAAUGAUUGAAAUUUUAACAAGACUCAGUGUGCUAUUGCAGCAAAUAUUGUAAUGAAGCUACGGGAGUUUGAACUUUAAAACAAUUUAUGAUUUAAACUACCCUAGCUUUGAAUGAACCUCUCCAGAAAUUGCCAGAAGUUCAUUACAGGUCUAACAACGACCUGGUUCUAAAUACAUUUGAAAUCCUUGAAGGAUUUUGCAAGAGAAUCGCUAACAAAUCUUGUCAAAUAUUUUCCACAGAUCUGAGCCGAAAUUCUCUGUGACUUUGUGAGAAACUCUUCAAUGAUUCUGGGCAAUCAAGAAUUUCAUCAGGAAUCCUUCCUGGCCACCCUGUCCGUGGAGGAAGGUGCCGAAUUGAGUCAACCGCUGCUCACAUGAGCGAGCCCCCUUCUUUCAUCACAUCAAAAAUAGACACAACCAUAUCGUGUGUGUGGGCGCGAUGAUAUCACCGACGAACCGACGUGACAGCUAGAACAAAUAAAUUCAAAUUUGUUGUCCGCGACACCAUGAUGAAAAAUAGCCGAACACUAUCGCCACCUCUAUAACGGCUCGCGAUGAUUUGAUAGCUCGACACCAAACCCCCGUGUGUUCAUAUAGGAAACGGUUCGCGUCUGCGCUGAUUUGACAGAAGCGAUCGUUCGCUUCGCUGGUCGACCGUUAAAUUAGGGGGGGACAGUUUUGGAUCGCCACUGUCACGUCGGUUCGUCGGUGAUGAUAUCACACACGAUUCCGGAUCCAAUCUCGUUGUUCCCUUCUGACUUUCCCAAUAUACCUAGUUAGGUUGUUCGGUUUUUGUCUCUCCUCCAUGGUUUCAUAUUUUCCAACCGUAACUCUGACUUUAACCGUCCUUUGCCCGAGGAGUGAGCUGAGCGAUUGUAACUGCGCUGCUCGGUACCACACCACCGCCGCAACAUCAUCGAGCCCGUGUGCAUUCUGGGAUGGAUGUAGUGUAGUUACUACAGUAGAUACUCCAGAAAACAGGAGGGGUGUUUGGCCAUGCGGUCAUUGACAUUUUGGCAGUGGAUGUGAAUUGGAUAUGAUGCGAAGUGCACGGUACGAUUGGUGGCUGUCAGGAUCUUAUCGUAUCUAUGUGUGUCGGGGAGUUUGAUCUCGUUACAAUUGUGAACCAAAGAAAAAUGUAGCAUUAUGACUCUUUUAAAGAUUGACUGAUUUCACAAGGUAGCAUGUAGGUAGCAUUGGAGCGUCUGUCCCAGAGAAGAAGUGAAGUAUUCACGAUCAAAACGUGAUAUUGUUAUAAUUGAUAUACAAGUUAAAAUGUUGUCAAAUUACGUCUGAAGUUGCUAGGAUGAGAUCUCAACUUAUGUAAUCGAACGUAAAUUAGCAUAUGUAACGCUUCAAUUGCGCCUUUGACUCGCAACAAUCUGAAAAUUUCGCCAAGAUUUUAUUCUCGGGAUUGAUUGAUCUUUAGCUUGUUGCUAGUUGUUUCCAUAAAAUCACAUUUUCUAACUAUGGUUUACUGACUCAUCUUGGUAAGUAAUUAUUUCAAUCAAACGAAAUUGUACAUAAAUCACCAAGAAAGCGAAUCUUGUCCACUUGUCAUAAAUUGAUAACCUCUCCUCAACAUUUAUAAUGAUCACACAGGGACUAACCAGGCGCGCAGGUUGGCUUCACAGUUCAGCAGCACCUUGCACCGUCACCAUCUCACAUCAUCACCAGCGAUAAUGUUCUUGUUUUUAUUUUUCAACUCAUUGAGCCUUGAGCUGCGGGGCGAUCAGCUGUGCUGACGAGAGUUAUCAAUCUCUCCUCGAAACAAAGCACGUGGCGACAGUAUGCGAACUUCGAAGGACACCUGCUGCAGGCGUCAAGAAGCCCUUGAAUCCGAAGUGACAAUCACCCGAUUGCAUCAUUGGGUUGUUUAAACGAAUUUUUUUGUUAUCUUUGUCAUUGAGAGGGAAUACAAAAGCGUUCGAAAUCGUUGAGAACCUGGUUGGUACCUGGUUUUUAAGAGUCUUUUUGAUCUGAUUUAAUCAAAAAAAGUAUCUUAACCAAUAUAGGAUAAUUGGGGUCUCCUGUUAGACCUGAAGUGCACAAGGUCAAAUAUUUGACAAGGAAAGAACUCAAGAAAAAACAUCUGAGUAUAGGUUUCUUUUUGGACAAAUAUUUGACCUUGUGUACUAACAGCUUAGCCUUGUGGAUAAGGUUUUGGAUCGUCAAUCCGGAGACUUUUCUCAACUUCCCUGAGCAUAGUGUAUCAUCACUAUACUUGCCUCACAAUAUACAAGUUCGUGCAAUGGCAAGCAAAGGAAACCCUUCAAUUAAUAGCUGUGGAAGUACCUAAACAACACGAAGUUGCAGAGAGACAGGUUAAGUUCUAGUGGGAACGUAGAGCCUCAAAGAAGAACCAUAAUUCGUCAAUUCUUAAACGGUUAGAACUGAUUUUUUUUGUUUGAAUUUGUUUUUCCGCGCAUUGUGGAGCCUCGUAGCCGUGCAGUUAGGGUCACCAAGCUUAUAAUCGCACCAUGCUAUGGGGUGAGGGUUCAAUUCCCGUUUCGGGCGUUGAAACUUUUCGUGAGAAUAGUUCCUUCCCCGUUUCCACUGGUGCAUGCUCCGUUGUCCGUUGUCUAAUGUUAAGUUUAAAACAGUCUGUACAGUCGAAAGCUGAAGACGUUGUCCGUGUCUUUAUAAUUCCAAGAUGACUGAAAAAAAAACACACAAUGAACGCAUCGUUAAGCUGGCUAAAUUCUAAUGAGCAUUCUUGUUAAUUGUUGAACAGUUCACUCCGUAAGUCGAAGUUUAAAUUAUAGGUUACAAAUUUAUCAUAUUUUCAUUUUCAUGUUAAAUGGGAGAUUCAGAAGGGUUUCGGAGGGGUUCCCGGUGGUCCUGGGGGUUCCUUCGGGCUUCUAAGCUGGUUUCAGGGAUGUUUUAUAGGAGUUUCAAGAAUGUUCAGGGGAUUACAUGAAGGUGUUCAGGGGUGUUUCAGGAAGUUUCAGGACGUUCCAGCGUGUUGCAGAAGGUUUCAGGUGAUAUCAGAGAUUUAUACAAUGGAGCACCCUUGAAACCCCUGGAACGUUCCUGAAACCCUCUGCAAUACGUUAGAACACCCUGAUACUCUCUGAAACACCCCUGUAACUCCUUCAAAUUUAUUGGAACGCUUCAGAAACCCCUAAGAAAUCUCUGAAACAGCCUUUGAUCCCGGAAAAUUUCUUCGGAACACUAUUGAAACUCCUUACAACGCUUCUGAAACCUCUUGAAAACCUUUGAAACGCUCUUGAAACAUCGUGACACUUCCGUGAAGCCCCAUAUACGCCCCUGAAACUUUCUGAAUCACACUUAAAACCUCUAGAACGUCCCUGAAACUUUUUGAAAACCCAUGGAACGCGCCUGUUGCGCGCGCCACGACAACUUAUGCAACAAUAUCCUAUUUCGGCCACGGCUACGCCUCUGAAAGCUAAACCGCUGGCUAGCGAUAUGAUCAUGUAAAGCAAAAUAGCGAACAAAGGCUUCUACGAAGAGAAGAAUGCAUCUGUCAACGAAAGGCAAAGUGAUUUUUUCCUAUUGUUUAGUGGUUCGUAAAGUUUAGUGGAACAAACACUGAAACCUAGGGAAUAUUUAGGCAGUUAACGACGGAAUUGAUAAAUUUGAUGUUUUUUUUAUAGUAAUUCAAUAUUGUAGUUGGAAACAAUUGUUGAAUUGGACAAACUUUCUUUUUUUUUCGUCGCGUAACAGCCCCUGAAACCCAUUGAAAAUCUUUAGAACGCACCUGAAACCCGUUGAAACACUCAGGAGCGUCCGUAAAACCCUCUAAAAUUCCUAGGAACGCCUCUCUGGGAUCCACGAAACAACCUGGAAUACCACUGAAGCUCCCUAGAACGCCACUGAAAUCUUUUCAAUACCCCUAGAACACCCUCUGGAACCCAAUGGAACACUGCGGAACGUCUCUGAAAACCCCUGGGAUGCCUCCGAGUUCAUUUGAAACACAAAUUCUCAUGUAUAUACUUUCAAUUGAUAAAAUGUUUAAACCAAAGCUUUAAUUUUUAAAUCUAGCUCAACAUUUCUACAAUACCCAUUUAGGAGCCCCUCGCUCCGCCACCAAGGACAUAAACAAACCUCACAAGUUUACACUGCAAGAUUGAAGAAGUUUCCCUCCUGCGAAAAUGUUAAAUUUCUGGAAAAAUUUCCAGGAAUUACGUUGAUUUCGGGAGCGAAUGUGACCUGGAAGUUCCACCCAUGGGUGCUGCUAUGAAUAAACUUGACUUUUUGCUGAUAUCUCAGUUAAAUUUCGAUUGCCGAGCGCUCGGCUGUGCAAAUCUCGGCAAAAUAAUGUAAAUUAGCCGAGCUCAACUGAGUGUGUAUCAUUCAGCUUGAUUGGGAAAGAUUUGAGGCCAACUUUGAGUUCAGUAGGUUUCAAAAAAACCCCUAUGACGAAGAGAACAAAACGGCCAAAAAUACGUAAGUUCACCUAUUGUAGUUGUCAAAGGAUGAAUUUUUUUAGUAGAAUUGAAAGGGACAGUACUUAGCCCGAUUUUCUAUUACUUACAGAUAUUCCACUAACACGCCCAGGUUCAUCUACGUCCUUGAAGACUCCUGGAACGCUCCUGAAACUCUCUGGAACGACCAUGGGGUCUUUUGAAACCUCCUGAAACACCCAUGAAACGCUGAAUAGCAAUUAAAAAAUAAUUUUAAACAAUUCAAAAGUGUUAAUCACAUCCUCAGUUCUUGUAACUAUGGUGGCCGAUUACUCGGCCUGUAAUGUUUUAGCUGAAGAUAUUUUUUUGGAAAUUUCCGCACAAGAUCUUUCGGGAUGCUGAGUGAGUUCUGAGCAGAUUCAUUGCAAUUGGGUUUUUAAAUUUAGAAUAAUGUAUUGAUUUUUUGAUUUUAUACGAAAGAGCAGCUUUUUCUGAGCCACUAUGAUUUUUUUUUUCAAAUUUUUAGAACUUUAUUUUGAUACCUAAAAUUAAUUACAAAGAGAUUGUUUGAUAUCACCUUUUGACAGCUGGGCAACUGCUUGACAGCUCCGCCCAGUACAAAAUGCGACGAGGGGUGAUUCGACAAAUCGCUCCCAUACAAUCUUCAAACUGAUUUUUAAAUAGGUUCCCGCACGGAAAAAAAUCCAUUCCCCUCAUCAUGAAUAAAAAAUCAUGUUCUUAUGAUGUCUGCCAACUCAUAAUAUCAUAAUUAAAAUUCAUAAUAUCAUGAAUGAGUUGACCAGAAAUAUGAUUAGAAACAAGCAUUUUCAUAAAUUAUAUUCAUGGUCGCUUCGUAGCGUUACACUUAUCUGCCAUAUGCAAUUAUAUAAAUCGCGCGGUCAUAUAAAUCGCAGACAUGUGGAAAAAGUUGAACCUUCUAUUUUUGCAAAGUUUUUAUUUGGUUAGAGUAAUAAAUGUGCAUAUAUGAGGAAAUAGAACAUCGAAACAGUGUGCCCGUAAGAUUCGGCAGUUUGUUGGGAGUUGAUUGACUAAAAAGUAAACGCGCAAAAAGUAAACAGUGCCCAGUUCGCGUUUUCGCUGUGCCAUCCGUCGUAGUUACGAGUUUAUGUACGGAGGGUGAAGCAAAGUGAGAAUCGCGCGUUAAUUUUCGGUAAUUCUCUCUAUUUUUCCGGUUUAUCCAUCGUUCGACGACUUCGGAGACUCAUCAAGUGAUGUGAACUAGUGAACAAUUGAUGUGGUUUGGAGGGCAUACUUAACCUGUUGGAUGUAGUAGCCAAAGACAAAAAUAGUAAACCAGCUAAAUAUGAUUAUCCGGUGAGUUCGAUCAUUGUUGUUCUCUUUUAUAUUUGAACAUUACAUAUCUUCACUAACAAGAGGCCAACUAAAAAGUGCUGCUUGCUCAUAGAAAAAAGGAUGAUGGAUAGGUCCCAAAAUCAUAGAAAUGGGCUCUGAUAUCACGUAUUUUAUUUUCUUAUGAUUUUAGCUUGCAUCGUUUUAUUAAUCUAAUUAAAAGCAUUUGGGACCGACGACGACGAAAUCAUAAAAGUAAUUCUUAAUUCCAUGAAUUCUAUGCAUUCAACCAUGAUUUUAUGAAUUUGACUGAGAAGCACAUAGGUCCGACGACGACGGAAUCAUAAAAGUAUUUUUUGAUUCCAUGAAUUCUAUGCAUGGUUCUACCUCACGAAACCAUAAUUUUAUGAAUCUGGUGGUAAAGCAUCAGGAUCUGAAUCCAGGUUUAUGAAAAUUAUUCUUGGCUUCAUGAAUGCUACUCAUGAUCCCAGCUUAUAUAAUCAUAGCUUCAUGUUUAUAUUUUCCAUUUUUGGUCGUCGAAAGCCAAAACAAUAACGGGUGCAUAGCGUUAUGGUGAUAAGAUCAUAAAAUUUAAUCAUGGUGUAUAUUUAUAACAUAAAAUCAUAAAAAUAUCGGGAAACUAUGAGUCAUAUUCAUGGUCCUGGGAAUGGAUUUUUUUCCGUGCGGGCACCAAAAUUCAUGAAAAUUUGGAUUUCGGCUCAGUUUGGCAUGCAGAUUCAGAGAAUAGAAUUAUCUCAACACCACUAAAGAAGCCAAUUAUUGGUAUUUUUUUAUGAAUUCCUAACGAGAACAUAGGCAAAGGCCUGCAUUUAACUCUGCAUGAUUUGUAGUUUGUGUCUUUUAAGGUAUGUUGCCAUAAACUUCAAAUUAUGUCUUCAUGCCAGGUUUGGGAAGGCUGAACUUCGCUACAUUACUGACAAGACUUAUGGUAGAUUCCUUGUUUGAAUAUCUGAAAAAGAUCUUUUUAAAAUCAUAAGAAAAACAUCAAUAAAGAAAUCCUGUGAAGCAAAAAAAAACUUGGCGGUGCUUGUUUGAACUUACUUUUCUUACAAUACAACUUCCCUACCAUCACACCGCACCGCAAAUCCAAUAAAUCAUUGGGAAGAUCCCAGCCAGCCGACUUUCCUGUGUCUGAGAGAGACUGAAUAAUGACUAAUAUGAUUGCAUUUUCUUAACUUAACCCUCGUGUCGUCUCAACAACGCUGCUGGCUGUCGCGGCCGACCGCUUUCCAUAUUUUCCUCCCAUUCAAGCAUAAUGAUGACGAUGACGGCGACAGUCUUCGUUCCACACCGAGUCAGCUGUCGCCCCCGCUCAGCUCGAAGUUGAAUCACCGCCACCGGACCGCUUUUUGUAUUUUGGCACAGAAAUGAAAAUGGAUGCAUGACGGUCCGGCACACGAAGGAACCCCGGCUGACUGGUUGGCUAGACGUUGAUGAUUCAAGGGGGAAAAUGCAAUUUUCAGAAAUUCGUUCAGAGCCACUUGUCAUUUGCUUACUUCGGGUGAAGUCUCCGUGCGUAGUCGGGAGCUGGUACGUGAUCCAAAAGGAGGAAAUUUUCAUCAUUUUUUUCGAGAGCAUUAUUACAAUGCCGGCGAAUGGACGUUGUCAGUCAGAGAAAAUGGGGAACCGACAAUAUGGUCAAGGAAAAAUGGAUGGGCAGAAUUGCCCACUCAAACUCAAAUCAUGUUCCCAUCAAAUUCGACUGACCGUGCCAUGUUGAACCUACGAAGUAGUAGUAGCGUUCAAUAAGGAAAAUCGUUCUAUAUGCUAAAUCACUGAUGAAAGACCCUUGUCUCGGAAACAACUUUUGGAAAGCAGGAUCAAGAAUCAUCAUCUUUGGACCGUAUAAUGUUCCAGAGUUAAUCGUUGCAUGCCGUUCGAAGAUAAUUCCACAAUUUAUCAAAAGUUACUUCAGAAAUUUAUCUUAAGGACAGACUCGUUAGAAUCCCAAGACGGCCGUCACAAUGGCCGACUUUUUCACCUACUCACAAUUUUUGAGCGCACAAAUCCCAUUGAAAAUCACACCAGCGUACCGGGUCUUUGUUUAAGCUUAUUACAAGUGAACAAGAUCAAAAUAAAAAAUACACUAUCGUUAGAAGUUCACUGCUUGAGAUUUGUGCAUCGAAAGUUCUGGUGCAAUAUUGAGCAGGGUUUUCAAGACGUUUGUCCUUAAUGGUUUUCCGGGAUAGCUUUCUAACAGUUUCGGGAUUUGUAGAAGUUCUUCCAAGGUUUCUUCCAAAAAGUUUUCCGAUAUUCCUCUUGGAUUUCCUCGCGGGGAUCUCAGGAUUUUUUUUUCUGAAGUUCCUCUCAAUUUUGUUUGUGGAAUUUCUCGCCAGAUUUCACCUUAAUUCCUUCCGUUAUUUGAAUAUCAUACAAGGAGUUCGGUAAGUAAUUUCAGGAGACAUUCCGAAGAGAAACUCCUGGUAAAAUUCCUGCAGGACCUCGAAAGCAACUAAUUAAGAAAUCCCAAAGGAGCAUCCAGCAUCUCGGGACAAUUUCUAGCAGGAAUUCCGAAAAGAGCUCUGUAAAUAUUCCUGAGAAAAUCUGGGAUAAUCUCAACUAUGAGGAAAAACCUAGAAAAUCUCUGAAAGAAAUCAAUGAGAAACAUCAGCAAUAGCUCCUGCAGAAAUUCCAGAAGGCACUCCGAAAAAAUCUUAGAAGGAAGUACAAGCUAAAAUUAGAAAUACUGAGAGACAUCUGAAAGUCCGUGAGAAAUCUCUGAUGAAACUUCAAAAGAAAUCCCGCAAGAACUUUUCGGAAACAUCCUAACUAAAGCUAGAGACGAACCAGCCAAGGGCUGAAAGUCUGUAUAAUAUAAUAGCUAAAUCAAUCCAUCAAUCCUAGCUAAAACUCCUGUAGAAAAAUUCGGUGACGUUUACCGAACAUCGUCAAAAUUUGACAGAUAAACGAUAACAUUUUACCGAAAUUUUGUAUUUUUUACAGAAUUUCGGUAAAAAAUCAUUACCGAACGUUCAGCAGUUGAGAUUUCGGUAAAAAUUACCGAACGCGACUAGCUGUGUAGAGAAUUUCUUGUGAAGCUCUCUGGAUGAAUCCUGGUAGAAAUCCCAUGAAAAUGUCUUUGGCCAAAACGCAGGACCUUCGGGAAUUCCCCCCAGAGGUUCCUACCAGGAUGCCGUCAGGAAUUCCUACCGAGAUCCCUUAAAGUAUUUCUCCGGGAUUCACUCAAUUCAUUCCGAGAUUCCCGCAGGAAUUCUUCUGGGAUAAAUUUGAAGUUCAUAAUGGACUUUCUCCAGAAACAUAUUCAGGAAUGUACUAAGAGAUUCUCCUAAACAAAAUUUCCAUCAGGAAUUUCUUCCAGGAUUUCUUCAGGAACUCCUUUUAGGAUUCCUCCAGGAGUUACUUCACGGGUUCCUCUCAUAGUUCCUUCUACAAUUCCAUCAGGAUUUUCUUCUGAGAUUACACCAGCAGUGACAUCUGGGUAAAUUUUACCCGAGAUGACUUCCGAUUUUUUUUUUCAGAAGUUCUCUUAAUGAAUGCUUCAGUAAUUAAUUUCGGGGUAUCUUCAGGAUUAUUUUUUAUUUUUAUUAAAGAAAAGAGUAUCUUCAGGGCUUGCUCCCGGUAUUCUUUAAGCAAUCCUCCUAAAUUCAAGAUUCCUCAGGAAGUUCCUUCUUAGAACUCUCCAAAAAUAAUUACUGGGAUUCAUCCAUGAAAUCCUUCUGGGGUUCCUCCAAGAGUUUCUUGCCGGAUUCCGUCUUGGGCUCCUCUAGGAACUUCUUCCGGUAAUCCUCCAGCAACUCCUUCCUGGAUUUAUUCAUUAACUAAUUGCGUAACUCCUCCGGGAACUUCUUCCGGGAUUCCUGCCGAUUAUGGUGGAAUUUUUCUGAAAUUCUCUUAGAUGUUUCUCAUGGGGAUCCAAAAGCAGUUUUUUUAAACCCCUUUAGAAGUAUUCUAAGACUUCCAUCUGUAAUUCUCUCGUAAGUUCGUAAUGAAAUUCCUAAAGCACUUUCUUGAGGAAUUCCUCCGCCAAGUUCUCAAAAAAUAUCAACAGUUUUGAUUCUCUUACAUGUUUCUCAUGGGGAUCCAAAAGCAGUUUUUUUAAACCCCUUUAGAAGUAUUCUAAGAUUUCCAUCUGUAAUUCUCUCGUAAGUUCGUAAUAAUGAAAUUCCUAAAGCACUUUCUUGAGGAAUUCCUCCGCCAAGUUCUCAAAAAAUAUCAACAGUUUUGUAGAACAGAAGUAUCUUCCCAAAAAAAAUCUGAUUCUGAUGACAUUCAAAAAGUAUGGAGAAAUCUCAGAAGGAACUUGUAGAGCAGUCCUUGAAGGAACUUCUAGAGGAAUUGUAUAAGGAACUCCUCAAGAAAGAAUUCCUAGAGAAAUUCUAUAAGGAAUCUCGUGAAGAGUUUCUGGAGAUAAUUUCUGGAAAAAUCCCAGAUGGAACUUCUUAACAAAUCUCCUUGAGGAAUCCCGAGAAAAACUCCUGGAACAAUCCCGAAUAAACUCUGGAGAGAACACGGAAGUAAUUUUUGGAGGAGUCUUAAACCUGGAGGAAUCUCAGAAGGAAUUCCUGGAGGAAUCAUAGAAGGAAUUUCUGUAGUGAACCCAGAAGGAGUUCCUGAUCAAACUCGGAUGAAACUCCUGGAUGAAUCCUGGAUAGAUUUGUAGCAGGACUCACAGAAGGAGGAAUUCUCAAAAGGAGGAAUUCCAGAAUAGGAACACAUUUCAAAAGGAACUUCCUAAGAAAUCACUAGAAAAACUUUUGGACGAAUCUUUGAAUGAAUUUCUGUACAAAUCCCAGAAGGUACUUGUGGAGAAGUUAUGGAUGAAAGUCCUGGAAAAAUCCCAGAAGAAAUUCCUGAGAGAAUCUAGGAAUGAAUAUCUGAGUUAAGCCCGAAAUAAAUACCUAAAGGAAUCCCGGAAGGAGGUUCUGGAGGAGUCUUGGAAUGAACUUCUGGAGGAAAAAAAUCCGGUUGAAAUUCUUGGAGGGAUGUCCGAAGAAACUCCUAGUGAAAUUUCAGGGUGGGGGAGCAAUAGAAGAAAUUCAAGAGGAAUUUCUGGAUGAAGGAGGGUUUCUCAGUAGGAGGAGUUUAGACGACGGACGAAUCGAAAUUCGAGCUUUUCAAUCGGAAGCGGCCGGUUUGUGUGUGGUGCAGAUCGGGUGAAGAGCUUCAGGAUCGCCACAUCCAAGGCACGGUGAAGCAUGGAAGAGGAAAUGUGAUGGUCUGGGGGUGUUUUUCUUGGAGUGGAGUGGGUAGUUUCGUGAAAAUCGAUGGGAUAAUGAUUGCAGAUUCCUACAUCAACAUCCUGCGGGAAAAUCUGGAGGUUUCGCUGAUCCAGACGGACCUUGAAGAGAAGUUUUCAUAUCAGCAGGACAACUACCUGAAGCAUACUGCCAAGAAAACCAAGUCUUUCUUCCGGUCUUGCCGGAUCAAACCGCUGGAAUGGCCUCCACAAAGCCCGGACCUCAACCCCAACGAGAAUUUGUGGACGACUCUAGAUACCAGGGUUGACAAAACUGGCGUUACUAACAAGUCCAACUAUUUUGAAGCUCUUAAGAAGAGCUUGAUCCACAGCACCGAACGAACCUAGUGAAGAGCAUCCCAAAGCGCCUGCGGCUGGUCCUGAAGGCCAAACUGCCGUAAUUCUGCAUAGUGACAUAGACGCCAUUCAAAAUUUCGAUAUUUUCGGGUAUAUUAUAUAUAAUAUCUGGGGAAAGAAUAACACUGUGGUAUUCCUGCUGUAUUAGAAUGCAAGAUCUAGUCGUAAUCUAUCAUCUAUGAAAAGAAACUUAGAGGACAAGUAAGAGUUUUAUGCAUCAUAACUAAAAAAUGGACCAAAACUUUCAAUGUCGCUUACGUCACUUUGCAGAAUUGCUGCAGCAAAGGAGGACACAUAAACUAUUAAAACGCCUUUCUUUUACUUAAAUUUAUUUUCGCGGGAGCCAAAAUAAAGUGGGCACUUUUUUGUCACUGUUUUUUUUUUCUAUAAUACAAAUUGAUUUUUUUUUCUUUGAGUCUAAUUUUUUUUAAUCAUUGUUCUGUAAGUAAAACUUGAAAAGAAUAUUAAAAAGAAGUUCUAGAAAAAAAACUGCAGUGUGCUUACUUUAAUUUCAACCAAAUAAAUGGUAGAAAUUCUAAAAAUGAUGGGGUGGGCACUUUAUUUUGCCUAUCAGUGUAUGGUAUUUAUAUGAGCUGUAUUAGGAACAACUUUCUAUUCUUCGCUAGUAACCAGAACGAUCAAUGGUUUGCUUUAUUUAUUAUUUGUUUAUUUUCGGGAACCUGUUUCACCUCAUUUUUUGACCGACUUCAAUCACGCUAUAAUGUUAGAAAUCAGCAAAAUUUCCCGAGGUUCAAACUGUAAACAACAAACGGCAAAGAAAAGUUUAUCAUAGAAAGCGCCGAAUUCUCUCCGUCUCUUUCACUCUUCAACAAAUUCUGUAAGUAACAAAGGCAAGAAACGUCAAAAUUCUAUACAAAAUCAAAACAAUGCAGUGCCCUAUUCUUCUGCAUUAGACGUUAUGCUAAAACUGAGACAUUAGGCCAUAUGAAUAAAGCUGAGUAAAUACUCAUUACUCAGAUCUCUGUGAAGAUUCACAGAGAUUUGCUCUACGGCUUCACAUAGAUUUAGUAAAGAGCAUUUACUCAACUUUAUUCAUACGGCCUAUUGCCUACUUCUUAGUAUAGUGAUCUAUGAAUAUUUCCAAAGUUAUGAAUUGGCAGCUUUCUUUGCCAUUUGCCAUAAUGAUACUUUAGCCUAAGGAAGUCAAGAAUAUUUCCUUUGUUAAAAAAAACAGUUGAAAGAGCUCAAUGAGAGAAAUCAUUGCAGCGUUGUUAUAGUUCAACUUGGCACUACUAGUUUAUCGCAAAAGUUAUGUUAUUUCUUUCUGUAAUAAGGCUAGAACAAAUGUCAUUUUCUUAUUUUGUCACAGUUUUCGUUUACUUGUAUGAAUCUGGUGAAGAAAUACCUGAACAAUUAGGCAAAAUCAUACAUAAACCUCAUCGAAUUUUCUAGGAGUAGCAGAGUUUACCUUUUUUAUCUAAUUUUGUUAAUUAAUUCUUUCUGAAGGCGAACAUUCAAAACGCUGAAAUCCAACCAAAAAUUUCCGUGGUGGCGAAAAAUUCGGACAUGUUUAGUACGUAGUUUUGUAAUAAUAGGAUUCUACGGAAAUCGUAUCUGAUGUUAUAUUGUGCUGUACUGUACACAGUAUUCGAGGUAGCUUGCAGCCUCUACUGCCUGGAGUCGAUCGAGACGAUAGGCCCCUACCGGGCCCCUUUUGUUGUUCUUUGAUCACUAGUUUGCGUCGCAAACAAACUUUGGGUGGCGGUUUUCCAAUUCAAAGUCUACCUUUGGUAAAUAUUCAUAAUAUGAAACAAAAUGGCAACUUCAAUUCACCGUGGUACCUGUAAAUUAUUCAAAAACGCAGAAGCACCCGUUCAAGUUUUUUUUUUAUUUGAUAAUAUAGCUGCCAUUACAUACACACUCUAAAAUAGCUUAAAUUACUUGUUAUUUCAGAACUUUUGAAUUGGCUUCCUAUUUCAUAUAAUAUUUGAGAUAUAAACAUACUACCUCCUGAGGAAAAAGAAAGAAACAAAAUUGUUCCGAUCUGGGUGGAUGUACUGUUUACCCAGAUUUUCUACUGUGAAUUUUCUAAUAGGAAUUUGCAAAACUUGUUGACUUGUUGUGACAACCUCUUUCAGAACAGCGAGCCCUUUUUUGGCAAUCUAUCGAACAAUACUGUACCAUACUGAAGGUAGCUAUAGAGUCUAACUGCCUGGAAUCGAUCCCAAGCCGAUCCGCUGAAGACGACAGGCCUCUUACGGGCCCCUGCCAGCCCUCAUCUUUCGGAAUAUCGAACACUUCUCUUUCGAUUUCUUUUACGAUGCUGUACUAUACAAACAUCAUACUGAGCAUAGCAUGACCCCUGAUUACCUGAAGUAGAUCGCCAUUGGUCCGUGGGACACAAGCCCCUGUCGAAUUCUUCCGCAGAAUCAUUCAUCAUCGAUCUAGGUUUACAUCCUUAUGAUGUUUGGCGUUGGGUUUUCGACUUCUCAGAGUUUUUUUUUUU
Aedes albopictus (Asian tiger mosquito) is the source of this 19501-nucleotide long non-coding RNA. RefSeq lists it as uncharacterized. The transcript is spliced from 2 exons. Lineage: Eukaryota; Metazoa; Arthropoda; Insecta; Diptera; Culicidae. The record is from RefSeq and is a predicted model, not a curated record.